CAAAUGACCUUCAGCCUUCAGCUAAUCCCUAAAAUACCUCAUUACAGCAAUACAAUCUGGUUCUCUUAGAGCCUAACUGUAGCAUCCCAAUCUUUUUAUAAUUUAUUUAUCUAUUCGUAAUCCUAUUAUUAUAUUGAUCUUACAUUAUUUUAUAUCCCUUGUUUGCUUUCUGUUGUAGACAGUCCACUUCAAUGAAUGUUUUGUGUGUGCUGAGAUGCUUUUCUGCUCAACACGGUUGUAAAGAGUACUUAUAUGAGUUCUUAUAUCUUUCCUGACAGUCCAAACUAAUCUGGCCAUUUUCCUAACUUCUCUUUUCAACAAGAUGUGUCCACCUACAACACUGUCCCCUGACAGGAUUUUUUUUCCUGCACCAUUCUGUUGUGGGAAAAUCCCAGGAGAUUAGUAGGGUUUUCAUUCUAAUGUUUGAUAUGUCUACAUCUGAUUAUGAAUCAAUAUUUGAUUGCCUGAUUACACAAUUUCAUGAGUGUACCUGGUGUUUCUGCUGAAAUGAAAGGCGAGUGUACAGUAUAUUCUUUUAUAUAUAUAAAGAUUAUUAUAGAUUAUUUAGGCUCUAUGUAAUCGAGUAAGAUUUUAAAUAUAUAAACAUUUCCACAGGUGUUUGUAACACUAAUAGCUUUAACUCCAACGUGCAGUGUUUCUCUGAUAAUAGACUUUAAGAAACUUUUAGUUGAAGGUUGAGUUUAUAUUAACUGACAUCCAAUUGCUAUUUAUGCUAUUUGCCAUUUAUAGUGAACCGGAAAUCCUUUUGAAUGUUAAUCUGUAUAUAAGUUAAUAAUUAAAAGUUAAAAGUAGUUCUGAGGUUUAUUGGUAAUGAUUUAUAAGAUCUGCAUUAUAUAGUUUAUAUAACUAUAUUUUAUAUGUGCUAUAACACUUUAGCACAUAUGAAAUAGAUUGUUAUAAUAUCAACCUGGUUUAUUUUCAUCACAUAAAUAGCAACUAUGAAGAAUAAUGUGUGCAGCUAUGAGAGAGUGAAAACAGGUAUGCUUUAAUGUUCUAAUCUUUUAUGUGAGAAACACUAAAUAUUUUAAGCACUUUUAUCAUGCCUGAUUAUGUUAUGCAACUUUAAUACAACUAAACUGCAAUGUUUAAUACCAAAUGAUUAUACUGUAUUCCAGCUUCGACACAUCAGUCACGAAUGGAUUAGUUAUUUCCAAAUCAUCUCUGUUACGAAUGCUCAGUUUCUUUAAUAAUUCCUUUUUGGCACAUGCUUAUGUAGAGGGUGUGUAGGUAAUGAAAGUAAUUAUUGUCAUAUAUCUUUUUAUCCGGCUAGCCCAUUUUGGCAAACAUGGCUCUUGCAGUGGGACAGAGCCUGAUAUGAGAAGCAUAAUGUUUAAACAAGCUGGAUAGAGAAAAUAUUUAAAUACAGCUGUGCAUUAAGGAAAUGGGUGCUAGUAGAAAAUAGUUUUCUCUUUCUUUCUUUUUAACAGAUGCUGGAGAUAUUCUUUUCUUUCUGAAUAUUUACAUGGCCAGUAUCUGCUUAUUCAAGAAUGAAUCUGUAUCAUAAGUGCAGUAAUGUGAAAGUGUACUAUUAGACCUUUUACUGCUAUCACUGCUGCCACAGUAUUUUGCUGACAACAUUGUCUCUAGCUUAUUACUCUAACAAGUUCAUUACAUUUAACUUUUUUUUUUUUUUUUACAGACUACUGUAAUUAGCCACUCAUGUAUACUACUGUACAGUGUAUUCACUGCAUCCAAGUUGUAAUUAUAUUUUAACAGAAUGUAAUUAGAGCUGUACUUUCCUUUGCAUUGCUCAUUUAUUUUGCUGGUCUAAAUUAGAUAUCUAAUUCUAACUAAAUAUUCAAAAUUAAGCGAAUCAAUAUAGUAGCUAUACUAUAUAUACAGUACAUUAAAUACGUAAGCUUAUCAUUAUAUUAUUUUGCUAGUAUGUGCAGUAUGUUGGUAUGACAUUAUUAUAGUUUUUAUUUCUUACUGUUUUUUGUGUCAUACAAAUAAAAAAUAUUUAUAAUAAACCAUACUCUCUCACAUUUUAAACCAAAAUGUAGUUCCCAUGUCAAUUAUACAGUACUGUAAUUUAAGAAAAGGCUUCAUGUAAAAGCACCAGGAGUUUUACCACAGUUGCAGUAUUUUACUGUCUAUUAUACAGUUAGACAUGAUACAAUGUGCGGCAAUGUUAAACAGCAUGUGUAUCUCCUUUCCUUAAUUAUUAAACCAAUAUCCACUUUCAAAUCCCAUUUCUUAAUUUUUUUUACAGUGUAAUUUAGAUGCCUUCAGAGUUUCUUUGCCUGUUGUAUUGUGGGCUGUAUUAUGGUUACCAGGGUGUGUGGGGGUGUUGUCUUGGGCACACAGACACACAGGCAUGUCUAUGCUGUGAGUCAGUCUAACCCACAGCAUGUGAGCCCUGAUGGGAGGGAUCCAGAGUGCCUACACAAUCUAGAUCUAACAGACAUUGUCUUUCUUUACUGAUAAUCUAACUAAUGUUUGCACUGUAAAUGACGUGGUGAUUCAACGAUGCAGAUUUUAAAUAUCAGGUAAUCUGUAUAAACCUACACCAGAGUUGUGUUUUUUGAUACUAAUUUCUGAGUCUUAUCAAGUGGGUGUAUUUUGAGGACAGUAUAUUCCCAACAAACCGGACUAAAGUCAUAACAAGGAUAGAGUUUAAGCAUUGCUAAGAGUUAAGAUGAAAAAAUUGUGUGUAUGGUUUCUUGGCCAAUUCAUAUAGAUGCAGUUCAACUGAUCAUUAUUAGAAGAUUUAUAUGUUUUUCAAUGGUGUAAAACUUUCUACAGGACUACUUUCCAAAAAAGAAGGAAACUGUUCUGACACAUUUUAUAUGAACUGGAUUAAAUGAGAUUUUCAAUGCCUAUGCCUUGCAGGUCAAGUCUGGACAUGUCUGAGAGCUUGACUUUACCAUGUGGCUGUUCAAGGAAAUGUGGAGUCAGUGCACUGAGCCUCAGUUCAUACAACCACACAGUAGCUCUUUCAUAGACUGUAUUCUUGUCCAUUUUUUCCCUUUAUUGGAAUGUUGAUGAUUUUGUAUAAAUAUACUGCCCAUUAUUUUAUCACAUUUUCUUUGUUGUGAACAUUUCUGCUUCUGACCCGAGGAAAUUGCUGGCCACUGAUCACCUACUGGUUAAAGCAUGUCUUACUGUGGUUACAUUACAGCAAAUGUUCAACUGUAAGGCGUUUGAUGACUGAAGGAUGACCCAGGACCCAAACAAAAAGCAAGUUGACAGUUGUAGGAGUCUGGCAGGUAUAACCCAUUUAAUGUUAUAAAACUGUCUGCUGUUCAUUCAUGUUACACACAAACCAACAAAUUCCAGCGAGGCUGACUGCAGCUUUCCCAUGACAAAGAAUGUCAUAAUGAAUUGUCUUUCCGCAUAGCUGUGUAAUCCACCUGCUUCCUGUUCAUGACGAGGUUAAACAGAUUCUAUAAAUACUACACAGAUAUUUAUAAUGGUAUUUAUUAUUUUUCAAGCCAUUACUGGCAGUAUGUGUUUCUACAUUAGUUUUGUAUAAUGUGUAUUAAUUGUUGGCUUAAUUAAACCAAAUAAUGUUUCCUGAUUUGCCAGGUUAAGGGAAAAAACUAUGAUGGAAUGUACUACACCUAACAUACUUUAUCAUUUUCAAAAAUCAUAGCAAAGACUUUCUGCCCUUCUGUCAGUGAUUCAAGACUUGUCUCUGCUAUAGAUGGGGAGAUGCACAUUAUGUCAUAUCGUUAUAUAUAAGUUGUUUAUAUAGUAUAUCCAUUGCACCACAGACCAAAUGUUAACCUGUCUUUUGGGGGAGUGAACUCCAUGUCCAGUUCUGGUUUCAGAAGGAACUAAGAAUGUACAAUAUAUUGGAUUAUCAUUUAAAGUGUUUUUCAAUAAAUUACACAGACUUCAGUAAUGAAGUUAAUAAGAAAUGUCUAACAUUAGCUCAAGCUCAUAAACGAUACACAUGGUGUGAGCUAUAUGCAGGCUAAUAAAACUCCAGAUAAGAUCGGUGCUGUGCUGCAGACUCUGGCAUUCAUGCAAGUUGAGUUUUGAUUCUUACCUGAACUACCUGUUUAAGGUAAUCUAUCAGCAUCUUUAAAUAAAGGCUAAACAAAUGGUUUGACUCGCUGUUAUGGGGAAGAUGUAAUCCAGUGGUUAAGAUGAUAGACUUAUGAUUAGGUUAUGAGUAAAAAUACCACUGCAAGGCCUUUAACCCUCAACUGCUCAGUUGUACAGUGCAUCCAGAAAUCUUUGCAAAUUUAAAAUAUAAAGCAAAAUAACAGGUACAAGUAUUCACAGCCUUUGGUCAAUACUUUGUUGAAGCAUCUUUGGCACCAUUUACAAUCUUUUUGAGUAUGAUGCUACAAGAUUGGCACACCGAUUUUUAAGUAGUUUCUAACAUUCUUCAUUUUAAGACCUUUUAAUGUAAAUCCGGUUUGGAUGGGGAGAGUCGGGGCACAACCAUUUUUAGAAAUUUCCAGAUAUGUUCAAUCGCAAGUUUAAGUUCAAGUCUGGGCUCAGGCUGGGCCACUCAGGGACAUUCACAGAGUCCAUUCAGAGUCCAGAGCACUCUGAAGCAGGUUUCAUCUGGGAUGUCUCUGUACAUUGCUGCAUUCAUCUUUCCCUCGACUAGUCUCCCAUUUCUGCUGCUAGAAAACAUCCCCACAGCAUGAUGCUACCACCACCAUGCUUCACUGUGGGGAUGGUAUUGGCCUGGUGCAAAUUCCCCACACCUGAGUGGGGGAAAAGAUAAAAAGAGUGAGAUGAACACUUGGGGAAAGAUACACAGAUAAACAUUAACACACGUGUGUGU
Long non-coding RNA from Silurus meridionalis, 4768 nucleotides. RefSeq lists it as uncharacterized. Lineage: Eukaryota; Metazoa; Chordata; Actinopteri; Siluriformes; Siluridae. The transcript is spliced from 3 exons. The record is from RefSeq and is a predicted model, not a curated record.